RNAcentral lists this ribosomal RNA (587 nucleotides) under mine drainage metagenome. Its description in RNAcentral is "bacterial LSU rRNA". It matches the Rfam family "Bacterial large subunit ribosomal RNA", at positions 1671 to 2238 of the family's 2925-position model. The record is from RNAcentral.
GGAGAAUAUCCUAAGGCGCGCGGAAGAACCCUCGUUAAGGAACUCGGCAAAAUGGCCCCGUAACUUCGGGAGAAGGGGCGCCCGCCAAGGUGUAGGAGCUUGCCUCCGUAGCCUCAGCGGGUCACAGAGAAGAGGCCCAAGCGACUGUUUACCAAAAACACAGGUCACUGCGAAGGGGAAACCCGAGGUAUAGUGGCUGACGCCUGCCCGGUGCUGGAAGGUUAAGGGGAAGGGUCAUCCCGCAAGGGAGAAGCUCUGAACCGAAGCCCCAGUAAACGGCGGCCGUAACUAUAACGGUCCUAAGGUAGCGAAAUUCCUUGUCGGGUAAGUUCCGACCCGCACGAAUGGCGUAACGACUUGGGCGCUGUCUCAACGAGGGAUCCGGUGAAAUUGAAUUGCCUGUGAAGACGCAGGCUACCUGCGACUGGACAGAAAGACCCCGUGGAGCUUUACUGUAGCCUGCUAUGGGGCGUGGGCGUGGCGUGUACAGGAUAGGUGGGAGGCAGCGAAGCCGCGGCGUCAGCCGCGGGGGAGCCAAUGGUGGGAUACCACCCUCACCACGCCGACGGUCUAACCGCGCCGGGUGA